This 244-nucleotide non-coding RNA is filed under the name Clostridium sp. RNAcentral describes it as "T-box sequence". It matches the Rfam family "T-box leader". From Rfam's summary of the family: Uncharged tRNA acts as the effector for transcription antitermination of genes in the T-box leader family. T-boxes are found upstream of many aminoacyl-tRNA synthetase genes and some amino acid biosynthetic genes usually in Gram-positive bacteria. The anticodon of a specific tRNA base pairs to a specifier sequence within the T-box motif, and the NCCA acceptor tail of the tRNA base pairs to a conserved bulge in the T-box antiterminator hairpin. The record is from RNAcentral. Lineage: Bacteria; Bacillati; Bacillota; Clostridia; Eubacteriales; Clostridiaceae.
AAAAAGGCAGAGAAAGGGAAGAGUACGCGGAGCACUGUGGAUUCAGAGAGGGGAUGGCCGGUGAAAAUCCCAGCCUCAGCCGCGGAAAGUAACCCCGGAGCCGUGAUUCGAAAGCGUGUUUGCGCCGUAGUUUUCACCGGGAGUUUCGCCGUUAUCAGGGACACCGCAUCUUUCGGUGCGGAAAGAGUGUGCGCACGGCAGCGCAAUUAUAGGUGGUACCGCGAAGUAAGCCUUCGUCCUAUUG